RNAcentral lists this ribosomal RNA (115 nucleotides) under Pteropus alecto (black flying fox). The record is from RNAcentral. Lineage: Eukaryota; Metazoa; Chordata; Mammalia; Chiroptera; Pteropodidae.
GUCUACAUGCCACCCUGAACACACCCGACCUCAUCUGAUCUUAGAAGCUAAGCAGGGUUGGGCCUGGUUAGUACUUGGAUGGGAGACCACGUAGGAAGACUGGGUGCUGUAGGCG